This 1104-nucleotide long non-coding RNA is filed under the name Triticum aestivum (bread wheat). RNAcentral describes it as "long non-coding RNA (TAES_LNC011084)". Lineage: Eukaryota; Viridiplantae; Streptophyta; Magnoliopsida; Poales; Poaceae. The record is from RNAcentral.
UCAAUCGGGUGGGCGGCGUAUUUAUUCAGUAUAUUCUCUGAAAUUGCAAGUUCUGAAAUGUAUCAUUUUUUUGUGCAGUGAGAGAGCUGAAUGGGGCGAGGCUGGAGGCAUCGGUGAGGGCGUACGGUGGCGCCCGCCAGAGCAAGGUGUCCAACAAAUGGUUAGGAUGUUACCUCCGCCCGCGGGUUUGCGAUUCCCCUCGGUACGGGGGCGGUUUCUCUCUUACCUCCGCCCGCGGGUUUGCGAUUGGCGUGCCUAGGCUGUUUAGGAUGUUAGUUUAGAAGUAGAUUUUGGCUUGGUGGUUCCUUAAUUACCGUCUCCGGUGUAGAUUGCGUGGUUAGCCUCUCUGUUCUGGUAUUGGAUUUAGAUGAUGUAGUCUGUUUUGAUUUGAACCCAUCUACUACUGUUGUCAAACUACUGUUGUCAUUAACCUACUGUUGCUGUUGUUGUAGGAGAAGAAGGAGCACGCCUAGGAGAAGAAGGAGCAAGCCCAGGAGAAAAACAACGAGCAGGAGAAGAGGGGAGCAAGCCCAACUUAAACUAUUGUUGUUUAUGUUGUUACACGCUUGUUGAUCCGUCAGACUCCACGGCUGCUCCGCAUCGUCCACACAUGUCAUUUUUAUUAUCAAAAUCUGAAUUGUAGUAGUCAUAAUAUUGGGCUGUUGGGAGCCUCACCUUUUUGUGCACAAUACAUUUAGCACACAUGUCCACACUAAGUGCUUAUGAAAUAGCUAUGUGUCCUACACAAUAAGUGCUUGUUCAUGUUUGGUUUUCCCUAAACUUUGUUUGUAUGCUUGAGAGCAAAUUUAGUUGAUUCUUUGAUGAAGCACUAAGACUAUGCAUGGAACAUUAGUUUUUAAGAUCUAAAACUGCUCGUCGUUUCUGUGAUGAUGUAGUUUAGUAGAUCUCAACUGAACCAUGUCUGUAUUAUGUGCCAGUGUAGCUGUACUGAUUCUUUGGUUUUCAUCCGUGCAACAGAGGACAAGGGCGUCAUGGCCAACCAAGGCGCAUGGUGCUCGCAAGCAACGAGCGGAGGUUGUUUGACAUCGGCACGGAGGAGGAGGACGGGCACGGACGGAGGACAGAGCAUCUCUCUUCUUCCAG